CCUAUGGGAGGCAGCAGUGAGGAAUAUUGGUCAAUGGGCGCGAGCCUGAACCAGCCAAGUAGCGUGAAGGAUGACUGCCCUACGGGUUGUAAACUUCUUUUAUAAAGGAAUAAAGUGAGGCACGUGUGCCUGUUUGUAUGUACUUUAUGAAUAAGGAUCGGCUAACUCCGUGCCAGCAGCCGCGGUAAUACGGAGGAUACGAGCGUUAUCCGGAUUUAUUGGGUUUAAAGGGAGCGUAGAUGGGUUGUUAAGUCAGUUGUGAAAGUUUGCGGCUCAACCGUAAAAUUGCAAUUGAUACUGGCAGCCUUGAGUACAGUUGAGGUAGGCGGAAUUCGUGGUGUAGCGGUGAAAUGCUUAGAUAUCACGAAGAACUCCGAUUGCGAAGGCAGCCUACUAAACUGCCACUGACAUUGAUGCUCGAAAGUGUGGGUAUCAAACAGGAUUAGAUACCCUGGUAGUC
This 460-nucleotide ribosomal RNA is filed under the name uncultured bacterium. RNAcentral describes it as "partial 16S ribosomal RNA". It matches the Rfam family "Bacterial small subunit ribosomal RNA", at positions 338 to 795 of the family's 1533-position model. The record is from RNAcentral.